Molecule: long non-coding RNA, 1671 nt
Filed under: Xyrichtys novacula (pearly razorfish)
Lineage: Eukaryota; Metazoa; Chordata; Actinopteri; Labriformes; Labridae
Source: RNAcentral
UUGGGGAGUAAUUAAUAACUGGCUGGUACCCUACUGGAGUAGAACUACCUCCCAGCACUACUGCCGCCGCCACCGCCGCCUCCUCCUCCGAGACAGACUUUACUCAGUGUGAGAAAGGAGUGGGAGCACGCUCUGGUAGCAGCCUGAUGGAUCAGCAACAGGCAUUUCAAAAGAGAGAAAGGAAUGAGAUAGCAAAGGUAAGAGUGAAGGAGGAGGCCGGGGGAGAGAGAUGAGAGGGGGGAUGAAGUGGAUGGAUGGCGAGGAGGGAAGAUUGGAGGGAAGAAAAGUGGAGAAAACUUUACGAAAACCAUUAAAUACACCGAAAAAAACAGAGAACCAAAUACUCCCAGUGUGUAAAAUGAUGGGAUUGUCAUGUUUUGAUGGAGUUGAUAUCGUCACCUUCACAGUAUCGGCUCUGAAAAAGGGAACGGCACAAUGCAGAUGCACACGGGGGCAUGUCAAGGCCUUUCAGUCCCAGGCCUCGCUUUUCCAGCUCAUGUGGAACAAAUCAGGAGCGUAUUACAAAAGGAUUCACUCCCUCCUCUCUGACUGACCGUUUUCAUUUCCUCACCUGUGUUUGAAUAAUGUUUCCCUCUUCCGCUCCCAUCUCCGGCAUGCAUAGAUUACCGAGAAAAAGCUCCCUGGCAACCCACAUCCACAAUUCUGCCAGGGAUUCCUAUCUUAUCUCCUCCGUCUUCUGCCUUGACAACACAUUAGCCUGCAUUUCACUGUCAAGCACGCCUCCCUCUCCUCUCUCUCUCUUUCUUUCCCCCGGCUAAAGUGCUCUCCAGCCAUCCCCGGAAAAUGUGACCUCCCUGCAGAGAGGGGCGUCAUUUUAGGGGGGCUUUCAUUAAAAUCAACUUCAUCGUUGAAGUCUGAUUCUCAUUCAGCACCACUUCCCUCCCUCUCUCCUCGUCUGUUUAAUAAAAUCUUGGCGGCGGCAGAAGAAGAAGAAGAAGCAGCGCCGGCGUCUUGUCUGGUAUCGGAUGCCAGGAACGGGGAAAGGGAUGAUCGGCGCUUGUCAAAAACGCAAUCUGGAGGCUUAGGUGAAGCCGGCGAGAAGAGAGACGGUAUCUGAGGAAGGAGGAGGAGAAGAAAGGGAGGGAAGGCCGGGGUGAUGAUGUUUACAUGUCUGUCUGGAGCUGCAACACGCCAAAACACACAAAAACCCACUGAUAGUUAUCCUCCCAAACAUGCACUGAUUCUAAUCGCGCAAAUACACUUGCAUAUCUGGUCAUCUUUCCAGGGAGCAAACAGUCCGAUAGCAAUCAAAGGUAGCUGCACACUCCCGCCAUGAUUGACUAUCCGAGUGACUCUUCCGCGCCAGGACUCUAAUAUUCAAAGACAUAAAGGCUUAUUGGGGGAUCAGGGGAGAUAAAGACGUGAUCGGACCGAAGAGGGAACAAGCGUAGAAAGGCAAACGAGUCUGAGAGCUCUGGAGAGGCUCGCUUUAUCCAUCAGGAAGUAGACAGGACCCAUUUAGACCAUCAGUAGAUCACUCUCUUCCACACAUUCUUGACAAAUGUGAUGAAAAGUCCCACUCCAAGAUCAUUUUUGCCCUUUUUUGACUCCAUCUACUUCUGUAAACUGUUUACUUUCGCUGAUUCGAUCUACCAAUCCAAUCUCUUUCCAGAUGCUCCUUUUUUCCCCGCAGCCGGUGUUUGUGCACAG